RNAcentral lists this ribosomal RNA (292 nucleotides) under uncultured Fonticella sp. RNAcentral's name for it is "partial 16S ribosomal RNA". It matches the Rfam family "Bacterial small subunit ribosomal RNA", at positions 505 to 796 of the family's 1533-position model. Lineage: Bacteria; Bacillati; Bacillota; Clostridia; Eubacteriales; Clostridiaceae. The record is from RNAcentral.
GUGUCAGCAGCCGCGGUAAUACGGAGGUGGCGAGCGUUGUCCGGAAUUAUUGGGCGUAAAGGGCGCGUAGGCGGUUUUUUAAGUGGGAUGUGAAAUACCUAGGCUUAACUUAGGAAUGGCAUUCCAAACUGGAAGACUAGAGUGCAGGAGAGGAAAGUGGGAUUCCCAGUGUAGCGGUGGAAUGCGUAGAGAUUGGGAGGAACACUAGUGGCGAAGGCGACUUUCUGGACUGUAACUGACGCUGAAGCACGAAAGCGUGGGGAGCAAACAGGAUUAGAAACCCCCGUAGUCC